Molecule: ribosomal RNA, 521 nt
Filed under: uncultured bacterium
Lineage: Bacteria
Description: bacterial SSU rRNA
Rfam family: Bacterial small subunit ribosomal RNA
Source: RNAcentral
GGCGAGUUUGAUCCUGGCUCAGGACGAACGCUGGCGGCGUGCUUAACACAUGCAAGUCGAGCGGAAAGGCCCUUCGGGGUACUCGAGCGGCGAACGGGUGAGUAACACGUGAGCAACCUGCCCUCAGCUCUGGGAUAGCUCCGGGAAACCGGAAUUAAUACCGGAUACUACUGCGGCCGACAUCGGCUGUGGUGGAAAGGAUUUCCGGCUGAGGAUGGGCUCGCGGCCUAUCAGCUAGUUGGUGAGGUAACGGCUCACCAAGGCCACGAUGCGUAGCCGACCUGAGAGGGUGAUCGGCCACACUGGGACUGAGACACGGCCCAGACUCCUACGGGAGGCAGCAGUAGGGAAUCUUCCGCAAUGGACGAAAGUCUGACGGAGCAACGCCGCGUGAGUGAUGAAGGUUUUCGGAUCGUAAAACUCUGUUGUUAGGGAAGAACAAGUACCGGAGUAACUGCCGGUACCUUGACGGUACCUAACCAGAAAGCCACGGCUAACUACGUGCCAGCAGCCGCGGUAAG